Molecule: unclassified non-coding RNA, 389 nt
Filed under: Hevea brasiliensis (rubber tree)
Lineage: Eukaryota; Viridiplantae; Streptophyta; Magnoliopsida; Malpighiales; Euphorbiaceae
Source: RNAcentral
ACCUCAUUAUCCUUCAUGUACUCCGGAAGCUCCCAAAACGACUUUAAGCCACACCGUUUAAUCUCUUUGUUCAGAGUGCCAUCGUCGUCAAGAUUACCCACUUUCUUCUUUUUAUUCUUGCAAGCGCUUUGAUGAGGAACGACGUGAGAACAAUGUGUUUGAUGAAAAUCCAUUUUCUUGGGCUUUCUCUUCAAGAAGACAGCAACAUCCAUAGAAGGAGGUCGUACAAUUUCCGGGUAUAUAGAAGAGAAAGGGUUGUGGCUGGUUUGUUUUUCUUUUGUUGGGUUUGAUUUAAAGUGGGAGUUGUGGAGGAUGCAACAACCAACUGCAAUCUGCAAACAUUUAAAGAGCUGCGUGUGGGUUGGUUUGGAUUGGAUUGGGGUUACAUG